This 484-nucleotide ribosomal RNA is filed under the name uncultured bacterium. RNAcentral describes it as "partial 16S ribosomal RNA". It matches the Rfam family "Bacterial small subunit ribosomal RNA", at positions 30 to 507 of the family's 1533-position model. The record is from RNAcentral.
AUUGAACGCUGGCGGCAGGCCUAACACAUGCAAGUCGAGCGGAUGACGGGAGCUUGUUCCUGGAUUUAGCGGCGGACGGGAGAGUAAUGCUUAGGAAUCUGCCUGGUAGUGGGGGAUAACGUCUGGAAAUGGGCGCUAAUACUUAAUACGUCCUGAGGGGGAUAGUGGGCGUUCUUCGGAUCUCACACUAUCAGAUGAGCCUAGGUUGGAUUCGCUAGUUGUCGGGGUGAUGGCCUACCAAGGCGACGAUCAGUCACUGGCCUGAGAGGAUGAUCAGUCGCACUGGAACUGAUACACAGUCCGGACUCCUCCGGGAGGCAGCAGUGGGGAGUAUUGGGCGAUAGUGGAAAACCUGAGCCAGCCAUGCCGCGUGUGUGAAGAAGGUCUUCGGAUUGUAAAGCACUUUAAGCUUGGUGGAAGGUCAGCAAGGUAAGACCGUGCUGGUUUGGCGUGACCGACAUAAUAAGCACCGGCUAACUUCGUG